RNAcentral lists this long non-coding RNA (4531 nucleotides) under Brassica napus (rape). Its description in RNAcentral is "long non-coding RNA (BNAP_LNC013308)". Lineage: Eukaryota; Viridiplantae; Streptophyta; Magnoliopsida; Brassicales; Brassicaceae. The record is from RNAcentral.
CUACACCGGCGCAAAUUCUCCGGCCAGAUCCAAAAGGAAGAAAGCUAUAGUCAGUUCCAUGGAAAUCACAAGACUUCUUAUCAAGAAACCUCUCGGGACGAAAUUCGUUCGGGUUUUCCCACACAUUUGGGUCUCUUUGAAUAGACCAAACAUUGAUGAAGAUUUUAGUGUCCUUAGGGACGGUGUAACCGCCGACCACAGCUGUUUCAGCUGGACGGUGAGGGACUAACAAAGGAACGGUCGGGUAAAGCCUAAGUGUUUCUUUCAUAAUGGCUACUAUGUAAGGUAGUCUAGUGAUGUGUGAUUCUUCAACAAUGUUAUCCUUUCCUACAACUUCGUCUAGCUCUUGUUGCGCUCUCUUCAUCGACUCUGGGUUCUUUAUAAGCUCGGCCAUCGCAAACUCUAUCGUGUUUGUAGAUGUAUCAGUACCACCAAUCACCAUAUCCUUCGCAUAUACAGUACGUAUAUAACAAACAUGAAUCAAAAUCAUUCUCAUGAGCUAAGAGACAUGUUAUGAAACAAUUAAGGGCAAAUCUCUAAAAAUAACAUAAAAGAUUGUUUUUAUGACCAAAAGAACACAGAAAAAAUGACUAAAUUAAAUAUGUUUCAUUAAAAAGGUAAAUAACAAUUAUAUUUCUACUUAAAUAUUUUUAAAAGAGAUUUUCGCAAUAAACUGAAUUUUUUAUUUAAAAAAAAAUAUUCUAAUUUUUUCUCUCCAAAAGAACCAGAACAACCCAAAAUUAAACUCUUGGGGGAGGAGUAUAAAUGUCUUUUACUCUUCAAUAAAAUCUAUUUUAGUUAUUUUGAUUUUGAAAACUAUUUUUGUGAUAAAAACUUUUUAGUACUGCUAUAUUUCUCAACAGUUAAUUACCGCGAGAACAGCUUUGACAUGGUUAACCGUAAUGGGAACCUCCGAGUUGGCUUCUUGGUCCUUUAGCUUCAUCAACUGUUGCAAAAAGUCUUUGCACUCACCAUCAUCCUUACUUUCUAGUUUUGGCAUCUUCUCAAUGGCUCCGUCGAAUAUGGCAAGACAGUCAGUUUAGUGUUUCUUUGUUAUUUAUUACCCUGUUCUGCUGUUAAAAUCUUUGUUUGUUUUCCUUUUUAAGCUUGGGUGGAUCUCUUGAUCUUUUUUUCGGUUUCUCUUGUAUGUUGUGUAAGUUGACAGACGAAGCAAGAGUUCUGUGUUUCUUUGUAUGAUGUUUCAAGUAACUACACUUUUGAGAGAAAAGUUUGGGGUUGGGAUUAAACCAGUGUGGCUUUCAAUAUUCCCAGUUUUGCUCCCUUUUAUUUACAGCCCCUGUUUUGGUCUGCUUUAAGACAUUUAUUUUCCUACCACUCUACAACAGCGUGAAUGGUGAUGGGCUGUUGAUAACUUUAUGCCGGAAACUACUAUGUUAUCUGGCCUUGAAAUAUUUUUCUCGAAAAUUAAAGAAAAGAGAAUGAUAUCGAGCAGGUAUGAAGUGUUUAAAGUGAUUUUAAUUAAAAUUAUAAAUAAUUAUCAUUGAAAAAUAUAUAUGUUUUAUAAAUGAAAAUAUGUGUUUUUAAGUUUACAAUCUGAAAAAUAUUUUAAAUAGGUGAUUUAUAAAGAUUGAUCGUAACAUUAGUGUAUUUUGUUGUAAUUCUUAAACAAAACAUAAAAAUGAAAAAAUUAUUUUGGACUGGCUUUAAGAUAUUUUAAUUUCAUUAUAAUAUUUUUAAUUCAACUAAACUAUCUUAAACUCAUUAAAAACAUAAGAAAAAAAACUAGAUGAAUACACAUUUCUAGAUGUUUUUUUUUUUCCCAUAUAGAACUUAAAGAAAAAAACUAUAAACAUUUCGAAAAUUGGGUUCUUGGUAUUGUUAUGUUUUUAUUCAGACUUCUUUUGUUUCUUAGUUCGACUUGGGGCAUAACAGUCUGAACUACUCCUCGGCAAAAACUACAAAACCAAAUUCUAUAAAUCCGAUUCAGGUCGGGUACGGGUUUGAUUUCCAUCCUUCCCUCCGUCAGUUUGAAUACUCCGGCAAUGUUUUCUCGAUUCCUCCACAGGAUCCGAAGUUCAAAAACCCCAAUCACGUCUCUCAAUUCAAUCAAACCUUUCACCUCGCUCAACCCUAAACCCCCAACCCGAGUCGCCGUCUUCUGGGACCUAGACAACAAACCACCCGCCUCCCACCCUCCCCACGACGCCGCCGUAAAGCUCCGAACCGCCGCGUCAUCCUUCGGCUCCGUGAAACUAAUGGUGGCCUACGCGAACCGCCACGCCUUCAGCUACGUCCCCGCGCAAGUCCGAGAGGAGAGGAAAGAUCGGAGACUCCUUAACCAACUGGAGAAAACCGGUUUAGCUAAACCGGCCGAGCCGUACUUCUGCGGCGUCUGCGACCGGAGAUUCUACGCCAACGAGAAGCUCAUCGCUCAUUUCCGCCAGAUCCACGAGACGGAGAAUCAGAAGCGCGUGAGGCAGAUCGAGGCUGCUAAGGGGCAUCAGAGAGUGAGGCUUGUGGCCAAGUACUCGAUGAAGAUGGAGAAGUACAAACGAGCUGCGAGGAACGUUUUGACUCCUAAGGAAGGUUACGGUUUAGCUGAUGAGCUGAAGCGUGGCGGGUUUUGGGUUAAGAUGGUGAGUGAUAAGCCCGAGGCGGCGGAUAGAGCGUUGAAGGAGCAUAUGGUUGAUGUGAUGGAUAGGAGGGAGGCUGAGUGUUUGGUUCUCGUGUCUGAUGACUCUGGUUUCGCUGAGGUUUUGUGGGAGGCGAAGGAGAGGUGUUUGAGGACGGUGGUGAUUGGGGAUUUGAGUGAAGGGAAGCUGAAGAGGGUGGCUGACGUGGCGUAUUCGUGGAAGGAGGUUGUGAUGGGGAAGGCGAAGAAGGAAGUUGAGAAGGUUGUUGGGAAGUGGAGGGAUAGAGAUGUGUUGAAGACGUUGGAGUGGAGUUAUGAUCCUGUUUUGGAGAAGGAGAGAGGUUUUUGUUGCGGGGAUUGGGAUUAUGGGUUUGAUUCUGAUGGUGAUGAUGAUGAGGUUGAGAAUGGAGCUGAGAUGGGAGAUGGUGGUGAUUGGUGGGAGAUGGAUGAUGAAGAUGGUGCUGGAUCUUCGAGACCCUGUCGAUGAACCUCCAUAGCAUUGGUUGUACAGAUCGAGGAUAAAUCAGUACGAUCUUGUGAAGCUAUUGUCGUAUUACAUGGUUGGCAGUAGCAAAAGAGAAGAAAGAAGAAAACUGAGUGGGAGAGAUUGAAAAUUCUUCACUCUAGUAAGCUCUCUUUGAAAGUUUAUGUUCUUCAUUCAUUGUCUCUAGUUGUCUGAGAUUCUAUAGGCAGCGAUUCAAUUUGUUUUUCCAAACCAUCAAAUGGUUAGUCAGGAUAGAGAACAGGAUACGGUGCAUAGAAAGUUUUGGAUUUACAGAAUAGAUUGAAUUACUACAGAGUGUAUAUGCAUCAAAGUCCCUAGCUAGUUUAUUUUAAUUUUUUUCUGUUUUUGGUAAAUAAGGUAGAAGAACUACACUGUCCACCCUAGCAUCGGUUCGGUUUAUUAUAGUUUUUGUUUUUUUUUGUUUUUGUUCUAGAAAUAUAGGAUCCUUUUGGGUCUUUAGGAAAUCCAGUUAGAUUUUUGGUUCGGUUCGUGUAAUACAAAUGGGAAUCGGCUAAUACCCGAGAUAAUUUCGAAUCCAAUUCGGUUCCGAUUCGGUUCCAGUUUUUUGAGUUAAUGCGGGUGUUAAACAAGAAAAUUCAGGUUUUUAGAUUAAAUAUCAGAUUUUUAGUUUUUCGGAUAAAAACUCGUAUAUUUCGGAUAAUUUGAUAUAUUUUGGACAAAAAAUAUUCGGAUAAUUUGGUCUAUUUUAUUUUUAAAAUAUUUGAUUAUUUUAAAAUAGAAAAUUGUUAAUAUUUAUAAGUUAUAUAAAUUAUAGUAUCUGUUUGUGCAAUGAUAGGAUCUAAAUCCGAACCAAAAUCAUGUAAUUGUAAGCUAUCAAAAUUUAUAUUAAAGAAGUGUGGACUGAUAUGAAGCUAAUAUCAAAGCAUGUAAGUUAAACAAAUGCUCCUUAUUCAAUAAUUUUGUUAUUUUUAACCGAAACUGGUGAUUAUUUUUAUGACAAAAAACAUAGAUGACGUCCGAAAACUACAUAAACACAACGAUCUUAGCUUCUACCAAACAUAGGUUAGGAUCAGACAACCUUGAAACAGGCAUGGCAAUAAGAGGGUUUUUGAGCUUUAAGACAAUACCAAACUUGUCUUCCACAUUGAACACAUGGCCUUCUGGAAUCUUCAAAUCAAAUGAAUGUAACAGCGUGGCAAGAGUGUACUGAACCAUCCUCUCUGCUAGUGCUAAACCGGCGCAAAUCCUCCGGCCAGAUCCAAAAGGAAGAAAGCUAUAGUCAGUUCCAUGGAAAUCACAAGACUUCUUAUCAAGAAACCUCUCAGGAUGAAACUCAUUCGGAUUUUCCCACACGUUUGGAUCUCUCUGAAUAGACCAGACAUUGAUGAAGAUCUUAGUGUCCUUAGGGACUGUGUAACCGCCGACCACAGUUGUUUCUGCUGGACGGUGAGGGACUAACAAAGGAACGGUCG